GAUGAACGCUAGCGGCAGGCUUAAUACAUGCAAGUCGUGGGGCAGCAUGAGUAGCAAUACUUGAUGGCGACCGGCAAACGGGUGAGGAACACGUACACAACCUUCCUUCAAGCGGGGAAUAGCCCAGAGAAAUUUGGAUUAAUACCCCAUAAUAUAUUUGAUAAGGCAUCUUAUUAAUAUUAAAGCUUCGGCACUUGAUGAUGGGUGUGCGGCUGAUUAGAUAGUUGGCGGGGUAACGGCCCACCAAGUCUACGAUCAGUAGCUGAUGUGAGAGCAUGAUCAGCCACACGGGCACUGAGACACGGGCCCGACUCCUACGGGAGGCAGCAGUAAGGAAUAUUGGACAAUGGACGAAAGUCUGAUCCAGCCAUGCCGCGUGAAGGAUUAAGGUCCUCUGGAUUGUAAACUUCUUUUAUAUGGGACGAAAAAGGGCAUUCUUGUUCACUUGACGGUACCAUAUGAAUAAGCACCGGCUAACUCCGUG
Molecule: ribosomal RNA, 484 nt
Filed under: uncultured bacterium
Lineage: Bacteria
Description: bacterial SSU rRNA
Rfam family: Bacterial small subunit ribosomal RNA
Source: RNAcentral